CCGGGCGACCGGCGCACGGGUGAGUAACACGUAUGGAACCUGCCCUAUGCAGGGGGAUAAGCGGAAGAAAUUCCGUCUAAUACCGCAUAACACCUUUAGGAGACAUCUUCUUGGGGUCAAAGGAGGCGACUCCGGCAUAGGAUGGCCAUGCGUCGCAUUAGCUAGUCGGCGGGGUAACGGCCCACCGAGGCGACGAUGCGUAGGGGUUCUGAGAGGAAGGUCCCCCACACUGGUACUGAGACACGGACCAGACUCCUACGGGAGGCAGCAG
Molecule: ribosomal RNA, 271 nt
Filed under: uncultured bacterium
Lineage: Bacteria
Description: partial 16S ribosomal RNA
Rfam family: Bacterial small subunit ribosomal RNA
Source: RNAcentral